This 120-nucleotide ribosomal RNA is filed under the name uncultured bacterium. RNAcentral's name for it is "partial 16S ribosomal RNA". It matches the Rfam family "Bacterial small subunit ribosomal RNA", at positions 796 to 915 of the family's 1533-position model. The record is from RNAcentral.
CUGGCCGUAAACGAUGGGUACUAGGUGUGGGGGGUUCGACCCCCUCCGUGCCGCAGUUAACGCAUUAAGUACCCCGCCUGGGGAGUACGGCCGCAAGGUUGAAACUCAAAGGAAUUGACG